GAGGUCAGUGAGCGGAUGUGACAUGUGAGUUGAGUCACAAAGAUAUCUAGGAGGGUUUUGAGGCAGUCUACAGUUAGUCCAGGCAUAAGGAACUGCAGUUGUAGAAAUAAAAGAGUGGUGUUUUUAGCUGGGUCAGGAAUUUGAAGGACUUGGAAGAUGAGGCACCUGGGGGAGUAGGGGUCGAAGUUUGAGAGAAGACUGGAACACUGAAGAUUUGAGAAAAUAAAUUAGAAGUUUGCUUCCGAAAGAUAACUCUGGCUAGACUCAGAUCGGAGGAGCCCUGGCUUUUGAAUGAAAGUAGGAAAGGAAGUUACACUGAAGAAAUGAGCCCCCAGAUGCUUGACCUCUGUCAGCCACUUGUAGGAUUUCAGCUAUUGGAAGGUUCCAGAAUUGGUGCCCAUACUCUGACCUUGCCUGGCCACCAUUCCUUUGCUUGUCAAGAGAGCUUGGUCACCAUGUGCCAUGGCCAAAAUAAUGGUGGUCCUUCCCAUAAGCCAUCUUCAGACUUCCAACUGACAGUGUCUGUCUAGAAGAAAGAAUGGGUUCUUUACUGCUUUACAAUCUAGCACAUUUACUGCACUGCAUGAUCUAAAAUAUCAAAUGAACUCUAUCUGUAAAGUUUUAAAAAAUAUAAAUGGACAAAAUAGCAAAGGGUGGUUUGGGGGCCCAUUCACACUAAGACUAUUGUUCUUGCCAUUAAUGUGUUUAAGGAGACUGUCCAUAUAUUGCAAAACAUUGUGCCAAUUUCCCUUCACUUCUGAAGUUGUAAAACUCAACCUUAUUACCUAAAUAGUUGUCCAGAGAAAGCAAGAAGGGAGCUACUUUAACUCCUGUUCAGUGACUGAGUGACACAGAGAGGCAUGAGACAAACCUUUUUGCUUCCAGAUCAGCUCCUCCAUCACCUCCCCCUUUUUUGGUCAUACCAAUGAGCAGAAAUGAAUCUACCCCAUGUGGUCAUUGCAGGAUUUAUCUGGGCAUUUGCUGAACCUGCUCGCAAUUUAUUUUUAUUUCUUCCGAUAGACAUGGGUUUGGCACGGGAGAGUGAAUUCUUUCUGAAACAGCAGAUGUGCCUGGUACACUCGUUUGCUAUAACCAUUUGUGCUGUGGUUGAAAAAAAAAUUUUUUUUAAGAGUGCAGAAUUGUUGAGGGGGGAGGGUUAAAAAACCAGAACCAUUUUAGCGAUUAUGCAAAGUUAGAAUGUGAGUAAUUUUGCUGCAGUUAGUCAUUAUGUGCUUUCAUAGCUUGUUUUACAAGGAUAAAGGAAUACGUACAGGUUUGGUGAAUAGAGCUCUUAUUUGUCUCUAGUAGUCGCCUUUUAUAAAAACAUUUUCCACCCUUUCUCCUACUAUGUGGCAAAAGUGCUCUCUCCUUCGAAAUUAUACCCUUCUGUGAUUCAGCCCUUUUAUCCAUCCACAGUAAGUGGACAAACAGCCUCCAUUUCUGCGAACAAAUAUGUUAGGGGAAGAGAAACUUCAUUUUCUCAUAUAAUAGAUAAUGCAGAUGAUGCAGAUUCAAAUAAUAAGAAUAUAGUGAUCAUUUUAAAAAAGCAUGUUUUCUGCAAAAGGGAGGGAAAAAUACUGAGCAAACAUCUAGUGACUGUGCUAUGAGCCUAAUGUGCUGUAAAUAUAGUGUCCUUGCAGCAUUUUAUUUGAAAUAUUUGAUAGGACUUAGCAGAUUUUUGCUCACCGUAUUGUCUGAGGAUUGUAACGCACCACCUAUUCUUUUUUUUUUUUUGCUUUGCUUUCGGUCACCCAAACUCCCUUGGACAUAUGUGAACGAAGGUCUGUUUGUUUCCACUGAAGCAAAUAUAGUCACUUGCUCACACUGGUGGCUUCCCUCAGUGAAUUCCACUACUAUUUUGGAAACUCCUGUAUGAAAACACAGCAACCCAACCUGUCCCCACUGAGCCUUGUGGGUGAUUUCCACGCACGGCUGCCCAGUGUCUAUGUACUGAGGUUCACUUUUUGAUAAAAAACAAAACUGGGUUUUGUAGCCUUUUGGUAGGCUUGUUACUAAGUCUGGGCAUUCUGGUGUAAUGGCAGGAAUGCUGAUAUUGGAGUCCCAACAGUGGUCUUAGAAAAUCUGAAUUCUAAUUCUGAUCGCUCAAGGCUUUAUCACCUUGGAUGAAUCAUUCCUAAGCCUAGUGUCCUUGAGGAGAAGGUAGAAAUUUAUGACCUAUAAAUUCCUUUCAGCUCUAAUACUCUGUGAUUCUGUAAAGAAUAUUUAGUGAUGUACAAAUAAGUCAACUUUAUUUUUUCUUUCUCAAAAAUUCCUUCGUGUCUACAUCUGUACCAGAUAACUCUCUUCAGGCUGCUUUUCAAAGUUGGCCACAUUUUAACUUCACCCCGACAGGCAAAUUUCAGUAAUGAGAAACCCCUGUAGGACUUGAGAGAAGGGAUCACAUUCUUUUACAUUUUUUGUCUCUUGAUGGCUUCCGAGUAGCAAUAAUAGACUGGAAUGGUUGGUUCUAUUGUAGUAAUUGGUUGUAAACAAGAGCUGUUGAACCAAGCUCACCAUAUUUCCUGUUACCUAUGGCUAAGAAACCUAAAAUGCAUAAAGUAACUCAGAAUACUUGAAAAUACUUGAAAAAUUGGAUUGAAUUACACAACCCUCUAUCAUGCUUGAAUACUUCUUGGAUAAAUAAUUACAGGUUUGGCUUCACAAAGCUGAUGGGGAAAGUAAAAUAGUGUGGAGGGGUGAUCAUUUAGCCAACUACUGCUAUUCUUGUUUUAUUUCAUUGAAUAUCUCUUUGUAGAUUUUGUCAAUAAUACUUUUUUAAAAUGAUUUCAUUCACUGAAUAAAUACAUAUGGAGUGUGUUUGCUGAACUCUCAGCAUAUCCCUUAUGGCAGAAAGCGAUGUAGAACUGAA
Non-coding RNA from Odocoileus virginianus texanus, 2869 nucleotides. Lineage: Eukaryota; Metazoa; Chordata; Mammalia; Artiodactyla; Cervidae. The record is from RefSeq and is a predicted model, not a curated record.